GACAUAAGAGCAAGCCCGCACGUGUGAAGGCAUCCACUGCCAUGGGCUCCCCAAAGGAAGUCAUUUUCUCAGACAUCACUGAAAACUCAGCUACUGUCAGCUGGAGGGCACCCACUGCCCAAGUGGAGAGCUUCCGGAUUACCUAUGUGCCCAUUACAGGAGGUACACCCUCCAUGGUAACUGUGGAUGGAACCAAGACUCAGACCAGGCUGGUGAAACUCAUACCUGGGGUAGAGUACCUUGUCAGCAUCAUCGCCAUGAAGGGCUUUGAGGAAAGUGAACCUGUCUCAGGGUCAUUCACCACAGCUCUGGAUGGCCCAUCUGGCCUGGUGACAGCCAACAUCACUGACUCGGAAGCCUUGGCCAGGUGGCAGCCAGCCAUUGCCACUGUGGACAGUUAUGUCAUCUCCUACACAGGGGAGAAAGUGCCAGAAAUUACACGCACGGUGUCCGGGAACACAGUGGAGUAUGCUCUGACCGACCUCGAGCCUGCCACGGAAUACACACUGAGAAUCUUUGCAGAGAAAGGGCCCCAGAAGAGCGCAACCAUCACUGCCAAGUUCACA
This 566-nucleotide small RNA is filed under the name Pongo abelii (Sumatran orangutan). RNAcentral's name for it is "processed transcript". The record is from RNAcentral. Lineage: Eukaryota; Metazoa; Chordata; Mammalia; Primates; Hominidae.